CCUACGGGCGGCAGCAGUGAGGAAUAUUGGUCAAUGGACGAGAGUCUGAACCAGCCAAGUAGCGUGAAGGAUGACUGCCCUAUGGGUUGUAAACUUCUUUUAUAAAGGAAUAAAACGAGGCACGUGUGCCUUUUUGCAUGUACUUUAUGACUGAGGAUCGGCUAACUCCGUGCCAGCAGCCGCGGUAAUACGGAGGAUCCGAGCGUUAUCCGGAUUUAUUGGGUUUAAAGGGAGCGUAGAUGGGUUGUUAAGUCAGUUGUGAAAGUUUGCGGCUCAACCGUAAAAUUGCAAUUGAUACUGGCAGUCUAGAGAACAGUUGAGGUAGGCGGAAUUCGUGGUGUAGCGGUGAAAUGCUUAGAGAUCACGCAGAACCCCGAUUGCGAAGGCAGCUUACUAAGCUGUGACUGACAUUGAUGCUCGAAAGUGUGGGUAUCAAACAGGAUUAGAUACCCCGGUAGUC
This 460-nucleotide ribosomal RNA is filed under the name uncultured bacterium. Its description in RNAcentral is "partial 16S ribosomal RNA". It matches the Rfam family "Bacterial small subunit ribosomal RNA", at positions 338 to 795 of the family's 1533-position model. The record is from RNAcentral.